UACGUAGGGUGCGAGCGUUAAUCGGAAUUACUGGGCGUAAAGCGUGCGCAGGCGGUCUGUUAAGACCGAUGUGAAAUCCCCGGGCUUAACCUGGGAACUGCAUUGGUGACUGGCAGGCUUUGAGUGUGGCAGAGGGAGGUAGAAUUCCACGUGUAGCAGUGAAAUGCGUAGAGAUGUGGAGGAAUACCGAUGGCGACGGCAGCCUCCUGGGCCAACACUGACGCUCAUGCACGAAAGCGUGGGGAGCAAACAGG
Molecule: ribosomal RNA, 254 nt
Filed under: uncultured bacterium
Lineage: Bacteria
Description: partial 16S ribosomal RNA
Rfam family: Bacterial small subunit ribosomal RNA
Source: RNAcentral